Dreissena polymorpha is the source of this 1738-nucleotide long non-coding RNA. RefSeq lists it as uncharacterized. NCBI's taxonomy places the organism in Eukaryota, Metazoa, Mollusca, Bivalvia, Myida, Dreissenidae. The record is from RefSeq and is a predicted model, not a curated record. The transcript has 2 exons.
CAGACCCUAAAAAAUCAAAACAAACAAGAUGCGUUUGUGAAACACAAUGUCCCCCUUGAAGGAUGACCUUGACCUUGACCCUUCACCAAUCAAAAUGUGCAGCUCCAUGAGAUACACAUGCAUUUCAAAUAUAAAAUUGCUAGCUUCAAUCAGGGACCUAUACAAACAAAGGGAUGAGACACUCACUGAACCGAAGAACAAGCUAUCGCGUUGUUACGCAAAAGGGAACGAGACUUGCGACCCAACGAGACUUCGCGCUUCGAGGCAAAUUUUAACAGCCGCCAUUUUGACAAAGCGAGACCGUGACAAAGCAAUCGAGAAAUAAUAAGAGUACAAAUUAACCAAGUGUUGCCAACACAGAAGUAUUCAUUGCAAAGAAUGCAUAGAAAACGCAAAAGAGGAUCCCUUACGGUGAAACGCAAGUACCACUACAUAACAUCUGAACAGCCAAAGGAAGAAAACCAUGUUGCCAGUGAACCCCUGGUGAACAUUAAAGCUACAACAGAUUCUUCUACCCAGUCAGAAAGUGAAAAUGUGCAGUUCACAAGUGAUCAUAGUUAUGCUAUUGAUGAAGACUCCACAUAUGAGCUUGACUCCUUCCAGGAGACAAACAAUGAUAAGCCUGAAGCUGAUGUGAUGGAAUGUAGUUCAGGGCUUCUAGAAAUGGAGGUGGAGACGACAACCUUCUCAGACUUUGCUGUGGAACUUAAACUGCAAAAUUUUUCAUCUCAGUUCGUUGUAAAGGAAUUAGAGCAAUCAAUUCAAAUGUUACAGUUGUACGCAAAUGACAGUCUGACAGCAAUCAAGUUAUCGGUUGAAAUUAAGAGUGAUUUUACGUGCUCUGUCUAUGUGCAUCGGAAAUGCAUUCCGAGAUCUCACCAAAUAUGGACUGGACUGCCACAACAUAUCAAUCGCGUUGCUUAUGUUCUGGUGUUAUAGGAAAGACUGUUAAAAUUUGAUGUCUGCAUAGGAAAUCCUGAGGUGGAAUUUUCAAUUAUUUUUUUUUCGCAUAGAUAGUCGAUGUAGGGAUAUAGAUAAAUGAAAUUAACUAGUUUAUAUAGAUGGAGUUAUUAAUUUUACUUAUAGAUUUCUCUCUAAAUAAAAUGAUUGUACUUUAUAUACUCUAAGGAACCAUAUCGCUAUACAUAAACUAUAGUUUUGCUUUAGUAUAGGUUGUCAACACAGGGAUUUUACUUAUACUUAACUACAAUUAAGUGUAGCAUAGGAAGAGGUAUAUCAUACAGCUUUUACAUUGUCAGUAUUACUCAAUUCUAUAUUUCUAAAAAAAAAUUACGAAUGAAAAAACAAUGCAAGUAUAUACUUUAUGCAGUUAUAUGCAGGGAUCAUAUUUUUUUCUUAUAUGUGUCCUAAUUUUAUAUUAAUGUAUGUAAUUCUUGUUUAAAAAAAGUCAUUUAAUAAUUAUAUUUUUCACUUAUGAACUUUGGUACAGACAGGUCACUAUGUAUUAACAAUAUUAACAUUCUCACGAAAACAUGUUUAUUCCUUAUAUUGUAAUAGGAACUUUUUCGAAGUGAUGCAUGAUUUGUAUUUACUUCAAAAGCAUGCUGUUAUUGUAAAUGUAAUGUAAAUGACGAUUAGCUUAACAUGCUUAAGUCAGAAUAAACUUUUAUGUUCUAUUAACUGCAUUUAAAUCUUUGUCCAUAAUUUUGUUAAAACCAUUCUACAACACGUUUUAUAUUCAUUUCUUUGAAAAUAAUUAAAGGAAUAAAACACUAAA